Non-coding RNA from Pelobates cultripes (western spadefoot toad), 241 nucleotides. NCBI's taxonomy places the organism in Eukaryota, Metazoa, Chordata, Amphibia, Anura, Pelobatidae. The record is from the annotation of a GenBank genome assembly.
UUACAGACAGACACAUACACUUACAGACACAGACACACACAUACACUUACAGACACAGACACACACAUACACUUACAGACACACACACAUACACUUACAGACACACACACAUACACUUACAGACACACACACAUACACUUACAGACACACACACAUACACUUAGAGACAAACACAUGUACACACAAAUUAUUAAUAUUAAAUAUCCACCCAGCCUCCCUACCUGGAGAGCUGGUGUGGAUC